This 73-nucleotide microRNA precursor is filed under the name Myotis brandtii (Brandt's bat). RNAcentral describes it as "mir-9193 microRNA precursor family". It matches the Rfam family "mir-9193 microRNA precursor family". Lineage: Eukaryota; Metazoa; Chordata; Mammalia; Chiroptera; Vespertilionidae. The record is from Rfam by way of RNAcentral.
CUUCAGAGGAGGGGUCCCCCAGCCCAGAUUGCAAGAGGGCACAGGCCAGGCCGAGGGACUCCACCAGUGCACG